Molecule: non-coding RNA, 222 nt
Organism: Cinara cedri
Lineage: Eukaryota; Metazoa; Arthropoda; Insecta; Hemiptera; Aphididae
Source: the annotation of a GenBank genome assembly
GAAUCUAAAAAAAAAAAAAAAACGUAAUAGUAUCGAUAACGGCGGGCGCUGCACGGCCUCCGGUCUUUCUAUAUUAAUGGAUUUUCGCUAAUCAAUAUUUACCAACGAUGAAGAUGACGAUAACAGAUACUUAAUAAUAAUGUGUGUGUGUGUGCACAAGUGGGCGGUAGCGAGCACGUUAUUAAAAAUGAAAAUGAUUUAAACUCGUUAAGGAAAAAAAAA